GAGAGAGAGCUAGGCUUGUGUGUAGAGAAAAAGAGAGGUUAGAAUACUUUUAAUACCAAGGAGCCCUUCGUGUCACUAAGUUGUUUUCGAUGCUGGGAUAUCUGAAUUGAUGAUCGACUCCGCUGGACAUGAUCUACGAUGUUGGAACUAUAUAAAAAUGAAUUCAUAAUUUUAUGACAUCAUUUAUCAAUCAAACAAGGAGUCUCGAAAUGAACUCAUAAACAACUAUGGAAAGGUCUCAAAAUUGACAAAUAUAAGUAUGAUAUGAUGCAUUUAUAAGUUUAACAAUGUAGAACAAUCCAAAUCCAAUGAAAUUUUGAUAGCAAAUUCUUUUCACUAUUUAGCAAGAUCAAUACUUCUGACCUAAAAUUUAAGUCUUUCAUCAUUUCUUUUUAUGAGAUUUUUAUUUUCAGCAGUUCAUUUCAAGACUACUGGUGUGAUAGGUAAAUGAUGUCGAAAAAUUAUGAAAUUCGGUUUGUAGAUAGUUCCAAUAGCGUAGAUUAUGUCUAAUAGAGCCAAUCGUUAAUUCCGAAGUCCCAUGAUCAAAAACAACUUGGUAGCAAAGAGGGUUUCAUGCUAUUAAUUGUAAUACAUACUA
This 598-nucleotide long non-coding RNA is filed under the name Ananas comosus (pineapple). Its description in RNAcentral is "long non-coding RNA (ACOM_LNC035932)". The record is from RNAcentral. Lineage: Eukaryota; Viridiplantae; Streptophyta; Magnoliopsida; Poales; Bromeliaceae.